AUACGUAGGGAGCAAGCGUUGUCCGGAAUUACUGGGCGUAAAGGGCGCGUAGGCGGAUAAUUAAGUCAGGUGUGAAAACUCUGGGCUCAACCUGGAGAUUGCACUUGAAACUGGUUAUCUUGAGGGCAGGAGAGGAAAGUGGAAUUCCUAGUGUAGCGGUGAAAUGCGUAGAUAUUAGGAGGAACACCAGUGGCGAAGGCGACUUUCUGGACUGUACCUGACGCUGAGGCGCGAAAGCGUGGGGAGCGAACGGGAUUAGAUACCCCGGUAGUCCACGCCGUAAACGAUGGAUACUAGGUGUAGGAGGUAUCGACCCCUUCUGUGCCGCAGUUAACACAAUAAGUAUCCCGCCUGGGGAGUACGGCCGCAAGGUUGAA
Molecule: ribosomal RNA, 377 nt
Filed under: uncultured bacterium
Lineage: Bacteria
Description: bacterial SSU rRNA
Rfam family: Bacterial small subunit ribosomal RNA
Source: RNAcentral